AUUGAACGCUGGCGGCAUGCCUAACACAUGCAAGUCGAACGAGCGGCUGACGGGUGAGUAAUGUUUUGGAAUCUAGCUUCUGGAGGGUGAUAACUACGGGAAACUGUAGCUCAUACCGCGUACCAUAGUAUGAGCCCAAGUGGGAUUAGGGAGUAGGUGAGGGAAAGGGUCACCAAGGCGACGAUCUCUAGCUGGUCUGAGAGGAUGAACAGCCACACGGGGACUGAGACACGGCCCAGACUCCUACGGGAGGCAGCAGUGGGGAAUAUUGCGGAAUGGGGGCAAGCUGAAGGAGACAUGCCGAGUGAAUGAAGAAGGCCUUCGGGUUGUAAAGUUCUUUCGGUAGCGAGGCGUUACCUACAGAAGAAGCAACGGCUAACUCCGUGCCAGCAGCCGCGGUAAUUC
This 405-nucleotide ribosomal RNA is filed under the name uncultured bacterium. RNAcentral describes it as "partial 16S ribosomal RNA". It matches the Rfam family "Bacterial small subunit ribosomal RNA", at positions 30 to 526 of the family's 1533-position model. The record is from RNAcentral.